This 500-nucleotide ribosomal RNA is filed under the name Mycolicibacterium rhodesiae. RNAcentral describes it as "bacterial SSU rRNA". It matches the Rfam family "Bacterial small subunit ribosomal RNA", at positions 1 to 522 of the family's 1533-position model. The record is from RNAcentral. Lineage: Bacteria; Bacillati; Actinomycetota; Actinomycetes; Mycobacteriales; Mycobacteriaceae.
UGGAGAGUUUGAUCCUGGCUCAGGACGAACGCUGGCGGCGUGCUUAACACAUGCAAGUCGAACGGAAAGGCCCUUCGGGGUACUCGAGUGGCGAACGGGUGAGUAACACGUGGGUGAUCUGCCCUGCACUUUGGGAUAAGCCUGGGAAACUGGGUCUAAUACCGAAUAGGAUCAUGGCCUGCAUGGGUUGUGGUGGAAAGCUUUUGCGGUGUGGGAUGGGCCCGCGGCCUAUCAGCUUGUUGGUGGGGUAAUGGCCUACCAAGGCGACGACGGGUAGCCGGCCUGAGAGGGUGACCGGCCACACUGGGACUGAGAUACGGCCCAGACUCCUACGGGAGGCAGCAGUGGGGAAUAUUGCACAAUGGGCGCAAGCCUGAUGCAGCGACGCCGCGUGAGGGAUGACGGCCUUCGGGUUGUAAACCUCUUUCAGUAGGGACGAAGCGCAAGUGACGGUACCUAUAGAAGAAGGACCGGCCAACUACGUGCCAGCAGCCGCGGUA